RNAcentral lists this transfer RNA (78 nucleotides) under Bipalium vagum. RNAcentral describes it as "tRNA-Ala". Lineage: Eukaryota; Metazoa; Platyhelminthes; Tricladida; Geoplanidae. The record is from RNAcentral.
AACUUUAUAGUUUAAUAGGAGUUGAUGAAAAAUAUUUAAUUUGCGUUUAAAAGAAAAAUAAGGAAAAUUUUAGAGUUA